Molecule: ribosomal RNA, 253 nt
Filed under: uncultured bacterium
Lineage: Bacteria
Description: partial 16S ribosomal RNA
Rfam family: Bacterial small subunit ribosomal RNA
Source: RNAcentral
UACGUAGGGAGCAAGCGUUGUCCGGAAUCAUUGGGCGUAAAGCGCGCGUAGGCGGCCCCGUAAGUCCGCUGUGAAAGUCAAAGGCUCAACCUUUGAAAGCCGGUGGAUACUGUGGGGCUAGAGUACGGAAGAGGCGAGUGGAAUUCCUGGUGUAGCGGUGGAAUGCGCAGAUAUCAGGAGGAACACCAAUAGCGAAGGCAGCUCGCUGGGACGUUACUGACGCUGAGACGCGAAAGCGUGGGGAGCGAACAGG